RNAcentral lists this ribosomal RNA (535 nucleotides) under Panulirus meripurpuratus. RNAcentral's name for it is "partial 16S ribosomal RNA". It matches the Rfam family "Bacterial large subunit ribosomal RNA", at positions 1815 to 2604 of the family's 2925-position model. Lineage: Eukaryota; Metazoa; Arthropoda; Malacostraca; Decapoda; Palinuridae. The record is from RNAcentral.
ACAUGUCUUUGUGAAUUUUAUGUAAAGUCUAGCCUGCCCAGUGAUAAUUAAGUUUAACGGCCGCGGUAGCAUGACCGUGCUAAGGUAGCAUAAUCAUUUGUCCCUUAAUUGGGGACUGGUAUAAACGGCUGCACAAGAAAUUGUCUGUCUCUACUAUAAAAUUUGAAGUUCACAUUUAAGUGAAAAGGCUUAAAUAAAAUAGGGGGACGAUAAGACCCUAUAAAUCUUUACAAUUGGGCCUCUGGCUGUUAGAAACUAGUUAUCGAUCUAAAUCUAGUGUUUCAAUUGUUUUGUUGGGGCGACAGAAGUAUAAUAAGUAACUGCUUUGGUUUUUAUAUUAAUUGUUUUUAUUAUGGUCAUUUGAAAGAUCCUCUUUUGGAGAUGUCAGACUAAGUUACUUUAGGGAUAACAGCGUAAUCUUUCUUGAGAGUUCAUAUCGAAAGAAGGGUUUGCGACCUCGAUGUUGAAUUAAAGAACCUUUAUGGUGAAGCCGCUAUAAGAGGAGGUCUGUUCGACCUUUAAACCUUUACGUGAU